CUCAUUAAAUCAGUUGUGGUCUAUGUGGGCGACAGUUUUCCUAGUUGGAUAACUGUGGAAAAUCCAGAGCUAAUACAUGCCAUUGACAAGUCCUCAGUUAACGCUUUCGGGUUACUAACUGGGGAUGCUUUUAUUAGACCGAGGCGCGCGCACCGUUAGUUUAGCGCCCUUUGGCCUUCGGGUCGUUGGGAAUGCGGCUGAUUGUGUGUCGCACGUAAGCGCUUAAAGGUGACUCUGGAUAACAUUGAUAAGCGUGCUUUAAGUAGCACGCUGCCUACAUACGAGUGACUGUCCUAUCAGCUACUAACGUAUGUUAUACGCUUACGUUGGCGAUGACGGGUAACGGGGAAUCAGAGUUCGAUUCCGGAGAGGCAGCCUGAGAAACGGCUACCACGUCUAAGGACGGCAGCAGGCACGCAAAUUACCCAAUCCCAGCACCUGGGGGAGGUAGUGACGAUGUUUACUGAUGUGGGUCGUCCUUCGGGAUACUCACAAUCGGAAUGGCUAUUUUCUAAAAACCCUAUCGAGAACCUACUGGAGGGCAAGCCUGGUGCCAGCAGCCGCGGUAAUUCCAGCUCCAGAGGCGUAUGCCAAUGUUGCUGCGGUUAAAAGGCUCGCAGUUGAAUGUCGGUUAAUAUACGCGUAGAGGUGCCGGGACGUUGCGAACUUCGAGUAGCCUUCGUGUUCUCGUUGUGAGCCGUCUCUCCAAGUGCAUCUCUCGUGGGCUAACGAUUCGAUUAGCGUCUUAGUGUCGGGGCUCUAUGUUCCUUCACAGCGGGCGUUAGUUGACACCUUGAGUAAAUCAGAGUGCUUCAAGCAGUCGUUGUUAACACUUCGGCUGCGUCUGGGUUUCGGCCCGAGGCGUAUGUCUAUGGUGACUCGUUUCGGCGAGUUUGGACAUUGUCUUUGCUUUGCAUGGUACGUCGAAAGACGCCGUAUGAGUUGGUUGCGCUUACGCCUCGUCGACACACCUCGUGUGUGCGCGUGCACCAAUAAGUACGGAAUGAUAUGAUAGGGAUGGAUCGAAGGCAUUGGUAUUGCGGGGCGAGAGGUGAAAUUCUAUGACCCCCGCAAGACUACCUGAAGCGAAAGCGUCUGCCUAGGACGUCUUCAUUAAUCAUGAACGAAAGUUGAAGGAUCGAAGGCGAUCAGAUACCGCCCUAGUUGCAACUGUAAACGAUAUCAACCAUCAAUCCGUCAAAGCGUUCCCUUGAGCUUUCGGCGUAUACUUUAACCGGUUGCGUCGGGGGCAAAGUGUAAGCGCUUGAUGGGCAGCUCUUUUUGGACGGGAAACCAGAGUUUUUCGGUUCCGGGGGGAGUCUGGUUGCAAAGCUGAAACUUAAAGGAAUUGACGGAAAGGCACCACCAGGCGUGGAGCUUGCGGCUCAAUUUGACUCAACACGGGAAAUCUCACCAGACCCGAACGUCUUUUGUGAUUGACAGACUGAAAGCUUUUUCUUGAUAAAGUGGAUGGUGGUGCAUGGCCGUUCUUAGUUGGUGGAGUGAUCUGUCUGGUUAAUUCCGAUAACGAACGAGACUCUCUCCUGCUAACGGACCUCGGUGUCUUUCUAGACGGUGUGAUUCGGUUAAAGUCGGCAUGGACGUAAGUCUCGUCGACGGACGAUGUCCACUGAUCCUUGGUGCGUUCGCCUUCGGGUAGUUGUUGCGGGUUCUGCCUGCGACGGCGCUCGUUGGUGGGCAAAGCGCCUCGGAGUACGUAUCUUCUUAGAGGGAUUGACGGCUUAUAAGUCGUAAGAAACAGAGAGCAAUAACAGGUCUGUGAUGCCCUUAGAUGUUCUGGGCUGCACGCGUGUUACAAUGCCGGUAUCAACGGGUCGUUACACUCUUCAGUGGCCUACUCUGAAAGGAGCGGGUAAACCUUUGAAAUACCUUCUGCAUCUGUCUCACGAUAGUGCAACUACGGCAUGCUUGGGACUGGGGAUUGCAAUUAUUCCCCACUAACUAGGAAUGCCUUGUAGUGGCGGGUCACAUAGCCCGCUGCGAAUCUGUCCCUGCCCUUUGUACACACCGCCCGUCGCUACUACCGAUUGAGUGUACCAGUGAGAUUUUUGGACUGGCGAACUGUUGCUUCACGGCAACGGCGAACGACAAGAAGAGACUCGAACUGGUGCACUUAGAGGAAGUAAAAGUCGUAACAAGGUUUCCGU
Molecule: ribosomal RNA, 2168 nt
Filed under: Hyperioides sibaginis
Lineage: Eukaryota; Metazoa; Arthropoda; Malacostraca; Amphipoda; Hyperiidae
Description: partial 18S ribosomal RNA
Rfam family: Eukaryotic small subunit ribosomal RNA
Source: RNAcentral